RNAcentral lists this ribosomal RNA (253 nucleotides) under uncultured bacterium. RNAcentral's name for it is "partial 16S ribosomal RNA". It matches the Rfam family "Bacterial small subunit ribosomal RNA", at positions 524 to 776 of the family's 1533-position model. The record is from RNAcentral.
UACGUAGGUGGCAAGCGUUGUCCGGAUUUACUGGGCGUAAAGAGCGCGCAGGCGGUGUGUCAAGUCAGGCGUGAAAGCCCCGGGCUCAACCUGGGAACCGCGCUUGAGACUGGCACGCUCGAGUUCGGGAGAGGAUGGUGGAAUUCCCAGUGUAGAGGUGAAAUGCGCAGAUAUCAGGAGGAACACCGAUGGCGAAGGCAGCUCGCUGGGACGGUACUGACGCUGAGACGCGAAAGCGUGGGGAGCAAACAGG